CCUACGGGUGGCAGCAGUGGGGAAUAUUGGACAAUGGGGGCAACCCUGAUCCAGCCAUGCCGCGUGUGUGAAGAAGGCCCUCGGGUUGUAAAGCACUUUCAGUGAGGAAGAACGCCUGGUGGUUAAUACCCAUCAGGAAAGACAUCACUCACAGAAGAAGCACCGGCUAACUCCGUGCCAGCAGCCGCGGUAAUACGGAGGGUGCGAGCGUUAAUCGGAAUUACUGGGCGUAAGCGCGCGUAGGUGGCUUGAUAAGCCGGUUGUGAAAGCCCCGGGCUCAACCUGGGAACGGCAUCCGGAAUUGUCAAGCUAGAGUGCAGGAGAGGAAGGUAGUAUUGCCGGUGUAGCGGUGAAAUGAGUAGAGAGUGGGCGGGAUAACAGUGGCGAAGGCGGUCUUCUGGACUUUCACUGACACUGAGGUGCGAGAGCGUGGGUAGCAAACAGGAUUAGCUAUCCUAGUAGGC
This 464-nucleotide ribosomal RNA is filed under the name Vreelandella stevensii. RNAcentral's name for it is "partial 16S ribosomal RNA". It matches the Rfam family "Bacterial small subunit ribosomal RNA", at positions 338 to 795 of the family's 1533-position model. The record is from RNAcentral. Lineage: Bacteria; Pseudomonadati; Pseudomonadota; Gammaproteobacteria; Oceanospirillales; Halomonadaceae.